Molecule: ribosomal RNA, 253 nt
Filed under: uncultured bacterium
Lineage: Bacteria
Description: partial 16S ribosomal RNA
Rfam family: Bacterial small subunit ribosomal RNA
Source: RNAcentral
UACGUAUGGUGCAAGCGUUAUCCGGAUUUACUGGGUGUAAAGGGAGCGUAGGCGGCGCGUUAAGUCUGAUGUGAAAACCCGAGGCUCAACCACGGGAGUGCAUUGGAAACUGGCGUGCUGGAGUGCCGGAGAGGUAAGCGGAAUUCCUAGUGUAGCGGUGAAAUGCGUAGAUAUUAGGAGGAACACCGGUGGCGAAGGCGGCUUACUGGACGGCAACUGACGCUGAGGCUCGAAAGCGUGGGGAGCAAACAGG